AAUCAAACCGUACCGGUCCACAAAAAAUAGCAAUUAGUAUAAUUUAAGCCCCUUUGGUUUCUCUUUCUUUCAUAAAGUACCCGUUUCUUCUUCGUGUUCUUGUUCAAUCACAGAACAUCUCUCUCAAUGUUCGCCGUCUCUUCGAGUUCCUCCUCCAAUUCGAGUCGACGAUAAAGAGCAAGUUGGCAUCUUUGAAUGAGAAGUUGGAUCUUCUGGAACGUCGCUUGGAAAUGCUUGAGGUCCAAGUUAGUACCGCCGCAGCAAACCCUUCUCUCUUCGCUACGUGGAAUGAAUAGCCUGAGCCUUUUGUUGGCGGCUUUAAUCUGGAGAACACAUCUUUCCUUUUUAAUGAUUCUUUUAUCUCUUCUUCUUCCAUAUGAAAUACAAUCCACUGAUGAAGAACUGUGUAUCAUUUCCUCUGUGUUGAUGUAUGAUCUUUUGUAUCCCAAAAUCGUUUCAUCAAGUUUUUCUUCCUUGUCAUCUUUGUACGCUACAUCUUGGAGUUAAAGUAUAGUUCAUUCUCCACAAGGUCUGUUUCGUUAUUGCUUGUCAUCGAACACGUACGGGUUCAAGUCGCUGUAUAACAUCAGCCUUUCUCUCUCAAUCUCCAACAACAACUUACUCAGAUAAAUGUUUCUUGUUAUGGUGAGAGACUAAUGAUCUCCAGGUUUGUAAUAACUAGGACCAUCUCCAAUGGGGUUCUCCCCAUUGGAAUUCUUAAUAUAUAUAUUAUGUAUAUAUAUAUAUAUAUAUUAUAUAUGUGUAAAUAAUUGUGGAGUUCAUAAUUACUGUGGAAUCCUAUAAAUAAGAGUUCUUAAGGAUAUUUCUUAGACCACUUACAUUGGAGGCUUUUAAACGGGGUUCUUAAAAAAAACUAAAAAAAAAAAAGAAAAAAAGAAAAAACUAACUAAGGGGUUUUGGAACCACUAAGCACCCCAUACGUGCCAUCUCUGUAUUGGUCGAUUCCUUCAUCUUCUCUCCAUACUCUUCGAUCCAAUCUCCACCAUUCCGUCUCCAAUCUUCGAUUCCAAUUGUCAGCACCGCCGUGAGAUUAGACUUCGCUGAACUCCACACUUCAAGUCCGGGAGGGUGAAGUUGUGACGAGUCUUGCGUCUCUCACGUCCCUCUCUCUUUGAGAUUAGCUUUGACUCUGUAAUCUCUUCUCCUCGUCUCACUUCUCCUCGUCUUCUUAACGAUUGUUCGAGCCGCCACCACUGAUGUCCAAUACUGUGAGGAGAAUGCAGAGUAUGAAGUAAAAGUGAAAGAGGUUAAUAUAGCGCCUAAUCCUAUAGCUCGAGGCGAGCCAGCUACCUUUACCAUCUCUGCCAACACAUGUUGCUUCUUUUUUUACUUUACAUUGAUACCAAUGAAAGAUGUUUCCUUUGUGAUGAUGAUGAAUGUGUUAGUUAUGAACUUAUGAUAGAGAGAGAAAAUGUGAUUACUUCUUUUGAGGAUUGUAGGCUCUUACUAGAUUCUAAAGGAGCGUUAGAUGGUCAAGGUUUGAAUAGUUAGAUGGUCAGGGUUUAAAGUGGUUGAAAGAUCUGUAAGCCUGGGUAUGAGCAUGGGAUAAAUCUGUUUGACCUGUGCUUGUUUUAGACAUUUGAGUUAUUGUCAAGUUUCUUUAGUUCAAGAUGUUUUCUCUGUCAUUGCCUAUUAGAACUAUGAUUCACAUCGGAGACUUUUUGUUUGGUUUUGGUGUCUUUUGAUCUUGUCUGUUUGUUAUCUUUGAUCUUGUUGUUUUAAGACAGCCAUAUAAAACAAUCUUCUUUUUGUGUGAUGCAUAUGUUUCACUUGAUGCCGAAGUCACAAGGAAGCUUUUACGUGUUCAACGAUAUAUUCAGGUUGAACUACGCCUGAAGAAGAAUCUCAGAUACUAUACACUAUUUAAUCAAUGAUUUAUCUUGAGAAUAGAGCAAGAUUGUAUUUGUGUUUGAAUGGAGGUUCGUUUGUCAUUUACAUUCCAGUGACUUGAUAAGACAAAUUUAAAUGGUUUCCAAUAUGCUAUUUUCAUCUGAA
Molecule: long non-coding RNA, 2016 nt
Organism: Brassica napus (rape)
Lineage: Eukaryota; Viridiplantae; Streptophyta; Magnoliopsida; Brassicales; Brassicaceae
Exons: 3
Source: RefSeq, a predicted model, not a curated record